AUGCCGCGAAAGAAGCCGCCAGGACAACCAACGCAUUAGUUCUUUUUCAGUUGCUCGCAAGAAAGCUGGUAUUUUUCUAAUAUAAAAAGACAGUUUAGUGGAUGGAAUAACUGCAUUAUUAUAGUGUUGAAUGAACCUGGACCUCAUACCCAGCAAUAUUGUGAAGCUCUAAAGUAGAUUGUAAUACCAUUACUUGACAUGGCGCUCCUUUAUCUUCUUAUUUCUGGCAUUGUGUCCUCCGUAUCGUCAUAUGUGAUAGUGCCCGAAGAGGGGCUUCCAAAUACUCCGCCCGUAAUUACAGUGGAAGAUGCCGGCUAUAAAAUUAAAGUUCGCGAACAAUAUACAUAUACACAUCCUGGAUCCGUGUGGUCUAUCAAUAUCUAUCAAGACUUCGAAAACCCUCAUUCGUACUUUAACGAACCCGCAUUCACCGAAGGUCUGCCUCUAUGCCCAAAAGAUGGUUGGCCAAACUGCGAAAAUUGCAACUUCGUAUCCAAAAACGAUUUCCAAAACGGUGGGAACGGCCAUCCGUGGGUACUGGCACAGUGCUGUGCAACGCACCAUUAUGCGCGUACGCGAAAGCUGGCGCUACAAAACAUAUAUCCUUAUGCCUUUUUCGGAAAGAGCCUGGGAACAAUUACCAAUCCCAACGGAGACAUAUAUCUGAAUAAGGAGAACGACUUCUACACCUGGACUGAUGACCCAUGCACGGGCGAAUAUUUGUGGUCCAUACCGAAGCCUUAUGUACCAUUGCGUGUGCGCAAUAUGCCGGUGACAGUUGCACCUACUACACCCACCACUACAGCAGUACGAUGUGAAACCUACGCGCAACCCUGCAGAUAGCCGGAGUGUCAAUGUUGCCGCACUUAUGAGGAAAGCAUGUCAUGCGUGUGGUCGCACUUGUCUGGCUAAUGUUAUCGAGCCUGUUGCUUAUGCUGUGGAAGCCUUAUCACCAGAGCUGCUCAGAUAUCAUAUAUGGGGAGCGUCCAGGUCCACUGGCGGAAGUGAACGAAGCGCUACGUCUAAGUAUAAACUACAAGCUGAUAUGUGCUCCCCUCUUCGCUUCAUUGAUCGCUUUAACUUGCUGCUCAUAGAUAAUUUCAUAGAUAAUUUCAUAGAUCACGCGUCUGCUGAAUUUUCAAAGAUGAUCGGCAAAACAUUGCAUAUCCGAACGCAAGGAAGCCGCUUCAGUAGUUUCCUUUUUCAGUGCUUAAGCCUUGAGCUUCAACGUGGUAAUGCUGUGUUUUGGGAGCUGUCCCUUAUAUUAUUUUGAGCGAGAUUUUUCUUCAACCUUGCUUAUGCAGACCUUUGUAAACUUUCAUCAAGUCAUGUUUCCAUGCGUUUUUAUAGCUUCACAGUAAAAUAUUAACCUGUUCGG
Molecule: RNA transcript, 1378 nt
Organism: Paramacrobiotus metropolitanus
Lineage: Eukaryota; Metazoa; Tardigrada; Eutardigrada; Parachela; Macrobiotidae
Exons: 6
Source: RefSeq, a predicted model, not a curated record